RNAcentral lists this transfer RNA (77 nucleotides) under Fulvivirga sp. M361. RNAcentral describes it as "tRNA-Met". It matches the Rfam family "tRNA". From Rfam's summary of the family: Transfer RNA (tRNA) molecules are approximately 80 nucleotides in length. Their secondary structure includes four short double-helical elements and three loops (D, anti-codon, and T loops). The record is from RNAcentral. Lineage: Bacteria; Pseudomonadati; Bacteroidota; Cytophagia; Cytophagales; Fulvivirgaceae.
GGGCCCUUAGCUCAGUUGGUUAGAGCACCUGACUCAUAAUCAGGUGGCCGCUGGUUCGAGCCCAGCAGGGCCCACGA